Molecule: regulatory RNA element, 76 nt
Organism: Phyllobacterium sp. YR531
Lineage: Bacteria; Pseudomonadati; Pseudomonadota; Alphaproteobacteria; Hyphomicrobiales; Phyllobacteriaceae
Rfam family: S-element
About the family: This family represents a group of S-elements from p42d and related plasmids. The S-element has multiple functions and is believed to act as a negative regulator of repC transcription, be required for efficient replication and act as a translational enhancer of repC.
Source: Rfam
CGUCAAGGGUUGAUUGAGCCCAGCGUCGUUUUGGCGAGCGGAUUUCUUUUGCCUGAUUGAAAGGUAGAGGACGAUG